Xyrichtys novacula (pearly razorfish) is the source of this 372-nucleotide non-coding RNA. The record is from the annotation of a GenBank genome assembly. Lineage: Eukaryota; Metazoa; Chordata; Actinopteri; Labriformes; Labridae.
GGAUGAUUACUCUGAGAGAGGCAAGUUGCCACCUCACCAUGGAAACCCACCCAAAAAUAGACUGCAUUUUCUAUACCAGCUCACCUGAUACUGCUGAUUUUACAGUAACUGUGUUUUAAUAAGCACACAUUUAAAACAGAACGAUUUAAAGCUUCCUGAAAAUCAGUAUUUUUCCUUCUUUCAGACCACAGAUUGAAUCCAAAAGAGAGCAGUUUUAGCUCACCGCAGGGUCUGGUUCAGAUUCCUCCUCCGCUUCCUCAGGACCUUUGAGUUGUUAGCCCCUGAUCGGUGGUCUUGACCCAGCACGGCCUUUCUCAGGGGGUCCUGACAGUCUGGGUCAGUCUUAAACCAGGAUGUCUGGACAUGUAGUUG